This 429-nucleotide ribosomal RNA is filed under the name Fusobacteriota bacterium. RNAcentral's name for it is "Fusobacteria bacterium partial 16S ribosomal RNA". It matches the Rfam family "Bacterial small subunit ribosomal RNA", at positions 355 to 776 of the family's 1533-position model. Lineage: Bacteria; Fusobacteriati; Fusobacteriota. The record is from RNAcentral.
UGGGGAAUAUUGCGCAAUGGGCGAAAGCCUGACGCAGCGACGCCGCGUGAGGGAUGAAGGUUUUCGGAUCGUAAACCUCUGUCAGAAGGGAAGAAACCGCACUGUGCUAAUCAGCAGUGCCUUGACGGUACCUUCAAAGGAAGCACCGGCUAACUCCGUGCCAGCAGCCGCGGUAAUACGGAGGGUGCAAGCGUUAAUCGGAAUUACUGGGCGUAAAGCGCACGUAGGCUGCUUUGUAAGUCAGGGGUGAAAUCCCACGGCUCAACCGUGGAACUGCCUUUGAUACUGCGUAGCUUGAAUCCGGGAGAGGGUGGCGGAAAUCCAGGUGUAGGAGUGAAAUCCGUAGAUAUCUGGAGGAACAUCAGUGGCGAAGGCGGCCACCUGGACCGGUAUUGACGCUGAGGUGCGAAAGCGUGGGGAGCAAACAGG